Molecule: ribosomal RNA, 503 nt
Filed under: uncultured bacterium
Lineage: Bacteria
Description: partial 16S ribosomal RNA
Rfam family: Bacterial small subunit ribosomal RNA
Source: RNAcentral
GAUGAACGCUAGCGGCAGGCCUAACACAUGCAAGUCGAGGGGUAGCAGGAUUAAGCUUGCUUAAUUGCUGACGACCGGCGCACGGGUGCGUAACGCGUAUGCAACCUACCUUAUACUGGGGUAUAGCCCGGAGAAAUUCGGAUUAAUCCCCCAUAGUACUAAUGAAUCGCAUGGUUUAUUAGUUAAAGCAUUGCGGUAUAAGAUGGGCAUGCGUCCUAUUAGCUAGAUGGUGAGGUAACGGCUCACCAUGGCUACGAUAGGUAGGGGACCUGAGAGGGUGGUCCCCCACACUGGUACUGAGACACGGACCAGACUCCUACGGGAGGCAGCAGUGAGGAAUAUUGGUCAAUGGGCGCAAGCCUGAACCAGCCAUGCCGCGUGCAGGAAGAAUGCCCUAUGGGUUGUAAACUGCUUUUAUUUGGGAAUAAACCUUUUUACGUGUAGAGAGCUGAAGGUACCAAAUGAAUAAGCACCGGCUAACUCCGUGCCAGCAGCCGCAGUAA